Molecule: ribosomal RNA, 423 nt
Filed under: uncultured bacterium
Lineage: Bacteria
Description: bacterial SSU rRNA
Rfam family: Bacterial small subunit ribosomal RNA
Source: RNAcentral
AAGACCUUGCGCUUUUGGAGCGGCCGAUGCCUGAUUAGCUUGUUGGUAAGGUAAAAGCUUACCAAGGCUUCGAUCAGUAGCUGGUCUGAGAGGACGACCAGCCACACUGGGACUGAGACACGGCCCAGACUCCUACGGGAGGCAGCAGUGGGGAAUUUUGGACAAUGGGGGCAACCCUGAUCCAGCCAUGCCGCGUGAGUGAAGAAGGCCUUCGGGUUGUAAAGCUCUUUCAGCCGGAACGAAACGGUUACGGUUAAUACCCGCGAUUACUGACGGUACCGGAAGAAGAAGCACCGGCUAACUACGUGCCAGCAGCCGCGGUAAUACGUAGGGUGCGAGCGUUAAUCGGAAUUACUGGGCGUAAAGCGUGCGCAGGUGGUUUUGUAAGUCAGAUGUGAAAGCCCCGGGCUCAACCUGGGAACU